Pezoporus occidentalis (night parrot) is the source of this 4975-nucleotide long non-coding RNA. RefSeq lists it as uncharacterized. Lineage: Eukaryota; Metazoa; Chordata; Aves; Psittaciformes; Psittacidae. The record is from RefSeq and is a predicted model, not a curated record. The transcript is spliced from 7 exons.
AAACUGGUAGCAAAUUUAAUCACCUGCAAAAGUGGGUGGGUGUGACCCUAGGACCUGGACCCAGAAAGGACCACCUUCUUCUCAAGAUCACACCCCUGUCAAAUUAACCCAGCUGCAAAAAUGGCAACAGCCUAAGUGUGGAAAGAGUAGGAACCAAAAUCCAAUUUUAAAGUUCUUGGAAGAUAAUGAGUACCUUUUUUUUUUGCGUCAUAGAAACCAACUCAGCCUUUUCUUGCUGUGUAGAGGCAGCCUGAAAAUUGCCUGAAGAUGGCAGAGCCCUGCUGAACAAGGCCAGCUCUCGCAAGCACGUCACUUGCCUUUGAUUCUCACCCUCAGUGUGAGUCAGAUAAACAGCAGUGGGCAGAACUGUAACAAGGUUGAAUACAUCCUGGAUAAAAUAUCAAGGUGCUGACCCUUCUCAGGAGUAGAAUAUACCAAUACUCUCUGGCUUUAAUAUAUGUGAUGGAGAGCAGUGUAAGUAUGUGCCAAGAGAUGUGCUUGCGAGCAGGAAGAGCUGCGCUUCAUUACAUGGUGAUGUUUGUGUGUGUAGGGCUGCUGCUCACCACAUGCCAGCUCUCCUGAAGACAAUAAUGCAGCUUUGCCACUCUCUUUACAUGUUUGUGCUGUGAAGCUCUCUUCUCAUUCCUGGAGACCUGAGGCAGGUGUCUGCUGUGAGCCACUUCUGCAGUGGUCCUUCAUUAUGACCUCACCAGUGAAAUUAUCCUCUUAUUCCAUCUUAACCUUGCACUUGCUCAUUGACACAAAUUUCAGUCAACAAGGUUUUUAUUCACAGGAAUGAAUUCCUGGGAAGGUUGGAGCGUAGCAAAGAGAUGCCUGGUGAAUAGCUUUGGGAAUAAUAUUGGCCGGCAUCUCAAGAAACAUCAGCAAGUACCAAACCGUUCAGGCAAGAAGAGUUCAGACAGGAGCCCAUACCAAUAAUACUGCUGAGAGACCUUGAACCUUCACCUGACUUAAUUCUCAGUACUCUCUGCUGCAAAAUGGGCAUAAUUAUACUAAUCUGCUUUGCAAAACUGCAGUGUUUUCAUUAGCUAAUAAGCCUCAAGUGUUUGGAGGUAACUCUUGGCUCACAUAAAAGGAGAGAACGUAUAUAAAAAGAGAACACAAAGGCAAUAAAGAUCUCAGAAGAUCUCUUCAGAACGAGAAGUUGCUCUCAAAUUAAAUGGGUGAGGCUUGUUUACAAAGAUAUUGAUGGUAUGAAAGACUGACACCCAGUCUUCUCUUUGUGCCUCGCAGGAGCUCGUGCGGAUUCAGGAGCUCCAGGAUUCAGGAACAAGCCAGCAGGUGGCUGUAGAUGCCAGCAGCUGCCCUGACAUGACAGCCGUUCACCCUGCGAGAGGAGACCCGGAGCAGGCUUACUGAAGUGGUUAACACCAGGUGCUCUCCUGCUGAUCUGCUAUCCCUCUCCAGGCACUGGCAUCAAAUUGGUAGGAGUGGGAUGCUUUGAGGUUCCCCUCUCCUGGCAACUUAAGUUGAAAGCCCUCUUCAGCAGCUUGCAAGCCUGUGAGCAAAGAUGCUCUUCCCCUUCUCUGACAGAUGGUCUUGUCGCAUUGAUUUCCAUUUAAGUGUUCUUUACGAUCUGAGCGUAUCAGUGGAAAACACUUCAUAAGAGCAAGAUCUUAUCACUUGAUGACUCCUGAUAUCAUUCAUGUGUUUUAACUUUGGUGUCUCUCCAAGCAGGUGUUUUAUCUGUUUUAUGAACAACCUUCAUGAUUAGAAUUAAUUCACUAUUUGCAUGUCACUCAUUAUAAAAAAAAAACCCUAUGGAGUUAAUAUUCAUACAGAUACUACUAUAAAAUCAAGGAAGUCUUUUAAAUCAUCACAGACGUCAAUACUGAGUUGUACUACAGAUCUAUAGGUAUUCUGCCUGCUCAGACAUAGAAAUGUACUGCAUGACAAAGGCUUCUUCCCCCCUUACAAAGAAGAAAUAAUAUAAUAAAAUGUGAAUAGGUUAUCCACCUUAUGUUAUACCUGGUAUCAAAAAAAGCAGAUGAUGUAACCUCGGGCAUUUUCACUCACACCUCAGCUGUUGAUCAGUACCAAACACAGAAGACUGGCUUUGAUACAUCAGGAAGCUGAGCCAAUGCUGCAGUCUUUUAUGAGAGCACCUCAUCUCACUGGCUAAUUAGAGACACUCGAAAUUGGAUUCAGUCUGAAGGCCAACAGCAGCUGGUGUAUUCAAACCUGUAUGAAGCAGCUCUCAUGUACAUAACUGCCACAACUGAGAACUGCCACACUCCAUAGCAAAAUGAGUCCCUGAGGUGUGAGUGCUUUUUGAGCUGGUGCAGCAAUGUGCUGGUUUAGGGGAGCCUCUGACGGUUACUGGGAGCAAUAAAAAAAAGAGUAACGGCAAUUUAUGCAGAAAAAAGCAUGACAAUGAGACUUCAGUCCUUACAAGAGAGUGUUUUGCUCUGUAGCUACUCAGCAAAUCCAUUUCUCUUCUUGCACCUUGUAGGUUGGGACAAAUUGUCAGCCUGCCUUUGGUAUGAGGAUGUCUUCUAGAAAAGCAAAGAAAUACCUUUUGUGUUCCUUCCACCCUCCUUCAGUGUCCAUCCUGCCUGUGAAGUGUUACUGUGUAAUCUUGUCUACUGCUGGUUAUUCAGAACGUGGCACCUUGGUGAGGGCUGUUUCCCCAUCUCCACUGAUGGGUUCAGCAGUGACUCAGAGUGAGACAUGCCGAACAGUCAGCGCCGCUCCCUGCAGUGUCUGGCCAUUCAGAGGACUCCCUCCCUCACCACCCGUACGUCUUUGUGGUUUGGGAGGGCUGACAAGAUUGCCAUCAAAGUGGGAAAUUCGGGAAAACCCAACUGUAUUUCGACAUCAGCUCUUGGUUUAAAAUACCAAAGCACAGAGAAAGCAAAACCACAAAGAUAAGGGAACUGCGAUGCAACUGUUGUCAAGGUAAAUGCAAACACCACGGGGUUUGUAAGCUGAGGCUACAGUUAGAAACACCUCAUUUUUAACUUCCGGUCUAUCAGGACCUAUAGUCAUGAGGAUGCUGGGGGGAAAAUGGCACAAAAGAUCCCUUCCUUGUGUGUAUUCAGUGGAUGGCCCACAAAGAGCUACCUCUCUUGCACUCAGGAGGACGUGGGUCUAUUGUGCCCAAGAGAGAUGAGAGAUGUAGGAAGAAUGUUAACCUCCCCAGGAAGUGGGUCCUCAGGGUAUAGAUGAGCAGACUUGAAGGCUUUCAACAGUGUUAAUGAAUGUGCUUCUUCAUAGCCAUUAUAUGCUGGUUUACUCCUUGGCAUCUAUGAUUAAAUCUGUGGAUGUUUGAUAUGCUCAGCACUGAAACAGGAAGAGUCAAACAGUCUCAUUUCUCCAAAGCAAAAAAAGAAGUCCAUUGUCUUCAAGACACCAUGUAUUUUCAAGUGUCUCCACACUUGAGUAUUGACCUGGAAGCCCCAGGUUUGGGUGCUUAGUGCCCUGAAAUUCACAGCUGUAAAUGGCACUAUGAAGCACCGAAGCUGUUGAGUACUUUGGAAGGAGCAGAUGCCUGCAGUUGAAACAUGCCGUUUGAAGCAGCCCUUUGAAAUACAGUGGAAAAGCAGUCAGCUGUUGUCCUUAAAUAAAGGGAAUAGGAGAGAACAGACUAAAUCAUAUCUAGUCUUUGCCUUCAGAUCCAGUCAUUCAUGAAGCCUUCUUUUUACUCAAAGCACAGCACGCCUCGAGAUUUUACCAUCUGCUCUUUCCUCUGAGGACAAGUCUGUUUCAUUUUACCUCCCUUGCAAAAAGUAACAUCACAGCGAGGAAAGCGCUUUGGUGCACUGGUUUGCAGUACACCUUGAGGCAAAAGGACCCCCAAGUCCAUGCCCUUGACCACAUUUGCCAGGGAACUGGCAUCUCUGUAUUUAUAGCCUGGAAAAGAUACCCACGCCAAGUGAUGUGUGAGCUGGAGCAGCAGUGCUGAAAAGCACUCUCUGUGCUGAAGGGUCAUCUUUCUGGAGGGAAUCUGUACCACAGGCUUUUUAGUGUGGGAACAUUAAUAACUGUACAUUGUUCUAUCUCCAGUCACUGCCUGGAGACCGCGUUCCUGUUUUAGCUUUCUGGAGAUGAGUGUUGUAAGCCUCUGUUUCCCAGCCAGCUCCAGCAUGGGCAUUGCUAUUCCACCCAUUCUCUGCCCUUGCAGCAGAAGAUGCUCUUUGUGGGCUCUGUUAACCUGUUCCCCUGCUGAAGUAAAGCCUCUGUGAUCGCAGGCCCGUGUGUCUUACCAAUCCACAGCACUCGCUAUCCACUGAGGUUGUUACUCCAGAGAAAGCCAUGUUACUCCGAGCAGCCAUGAGAGAUGAUACUUGUAUUGGGUAUCCUAGAGCUGCUGUCUCUCUGGAGGAAGAGGGGAUGACUUCUCUCCAUCUGUGGAAAUCCUACACAUGGGACAACAGCAGGAACAGUCCCAGGUUAUGUGCUGAGUGCCUGGCUGUCCCCAUAUGGCCCACGGCUCUGCCAAAGGUUUUGAAGAGAGUGUACCUCACAGUCUCAUUUGGGACAGGAUCCACAGCAUGGUGUAGACUGGCAGGGUUAUAAUCACAUCCAUUUGGCUGAGGAUGCCAGGAAAUGGAGCAUGGCAGCUAAGAGAAAAUCAAACACUGAUGCAGAGACAAUCUUUCAUCACCUCAUUUCUCACCCAAAUUACAGCAGCAAAUGAUUUCUGCUCAUGCCAUAGCAGUACUGAGAGCCAGGAGCUCUCCAACACCAGAACACAAACCACCUGCAUGGAGGGGGAUGAAAAUACAAGCUGAAGCAGGGGUAGAUGAGGAAAACCAGGAUGGCAUAGUCAUGGUCAGACAUAGCUCAGGAUACAGAGGUGGGUCUCGAGCUGCUGCUCACACAGGACACAGCAGUCAGCAAAGUCAGGAACAACAGGAUGGGGCUAAAUUUUCAAUCUGAAUUUUAAUCUCAGCUGAGUCAUUGAGGUAGAGACCAGGAGACUUCACUUCAUGUUUCAAGUGAACUAGAGAGA